AUUGAACGCUGGCGGCAGGCCUAACACAUGCAAGUCGAGCGAGCGGCGGACGGGGGCGGAAGGUCUGGGAAACUGCCUGAUGGAGAGGGAUAACUACUGGAAACGGAAGCUAAUACCGCAUCCCAUCAGAUGUGCCCAGAUGGGAUUAGCUAGACGGUGGGGUAAUGGCUCACGUAGGCGACGAUCCCUAGCUGGUCUGAGAGGAGAACAAGCCACACUGGAACGGAGAAACGGUCCAGACUCCUACGGGAGGCAGCAGUGGGGAAUAUUGAACAAUGGGCGCAAGCAUGAUGCAGCCAUGCCGCGUGUGUGAAGAAGGCCUUCGGGUUGUAAAGCACUUUCAGCGGGGAGGCGUUACCCGCAGAAGAAGCACCGGCUAACUCCGUGCCAGCAGCCGCGGUAAUUC
Molecule: ribosomal RNA, 406 nt
Filed under: uncultured bacterium
Lineage: Bacteria
Description: partial 16S ribosomal RNA
Rfam family: Bacterial small subunit ribosomal RNA
Source: RNAcentral